CCCCUUUUUGUUGUCUCAACUUCUGUUUUGGGGUCAAGUCAACUUUCAACUCAAAACUUUUCAAUACUUUUGUUAAGAUAACACACAUAUCUGUGUUUUGCUCAGAAAUUCUAAUGCACAGUUGACACAACUGAGUCAUGCUUGUCUUCUCAAAUGUAAGUUGAAGUUCACCCAGGGUUCACCACGCUACGUCAUUUUGCACAUGCGCAGAGCGGCAGACCACGUUAGUCAACGUCUCCUCCAUUGAAGGACCGAGCGCGAGAAGCGAGCUGACCGUUGGCAAUCAACUGACCGAAGAUUAAUUCAGUGUCAUGACUGAUGCAGUGGAACUAACUAAAAGAGAGAGAGAGAGCAGUUGUUCUC
Molecule: long non-coding RNA, 363 nt
Organism: Perca flavescens (yellow perch)
Lineage: Eukaryota; Metazoa; Chordata; Actinopteri; Perciformes; Percidae
Exons: 3
Source: RefSeq, a predicted model, not a curated record